AUUGAACGCUGGCGGCAGGCCUAACACAUGCAAGUCGAACGGUAACAGGAAGCAGCUUGCUGCUUUGCUGACGAGUGGCGGACGGGUGAGUAAUGUCUGGGAAACUGCCUGAUGGAGGGGGAUAACUACUGGAAACGGUAGCUAAUACCGCAUAACGUCGCAAGACCAAAGAGGGGGACCUUAUGGCCUCUUGCCAUCGGAUGUGCCCAGAUGGGAGUAGCUAGUAGGUGGGGUAACGGCUCACCUAGGCGACGAUCCCUAGCUGGUCUGAGAGGAUGACCAGCCACACUGGAACUGAGACACGGUCCAGACUCCUACGGGAGGCAGCAGUGGGGAAUAUUGGACAAUGGGCGCAAGCCUGAUGCAGCCAUACCGCGUGUGUGAAGAAGGCCUUCGGGUUGUAAAGUACUUUCAGCGGGGAGGAAGGGAGUAAAGUUAAUACCUUUGCUCAUUGACGUUACCCGCAGAAGAAGCACCGGCUAACUCCGUG
RNAcentral lists this ribosomal RNA (490 nucleotides) under uncultured bacterium. Its description in RNAcentral is "partial 16S ribosomal RNA". It matches the Rfam family "Bacterial small subunit ribosomal RNA", at positions 30 to 507 of the family's 1533-position model. The record is from RNAcentral.